CCUACGGGAGGCAGCAGUGAGGAAUAUUGGUCAAUGGACGAGAGUCUGAACCAGCCAAGUAGCGUGAAGGAUGACUGCCCUAUGGGUUGUAAACUUCUUUUAUAUGGGAAUAAAAUGUUCCACGUGUGGGCUUUUGUAUGUACCAUAUGAAUAAGCAUCGGCUAACUCCGUGCCAGCAGCCGCGGUAAUACGGAGGAUGCGAGCGUUAUCCGGAUUUAUUGGGUUUAAAGGGGGCGUAGGUGGAUUGUUAAGUCAGUUGUGAAAGUUUGCGGCUCAACCGUAAAAUUGCAGUUGAAACUGGCAGUCUUGAGUACAGUAGAGGUGGGCGGAAUUCGUGGUGUAGCGGUGAAAUGCUUAGAUAUCACGAAGAACUCCGAUUGCGAAGGCAGCUCACUGGACUGCAACUGACACUGAGGCUCGAAAGUGUGGGUAUCAAACAGGAUUAGAUACCCUGGUAGUC
RNAcentral lists this ribosomal RNA (460 nucleotides) under uncultured bacterium. RNAcentral's name for it is "partial 16S ribosomal RNA". It matches the Rfam family "Bacterial small subunit ribosomal RNA", at positions 338 to 795 of the family's 1533-position model. The record is from RNAcentral.